Orbicella faveolata is the source of this 410-nucleotide long non-coding RNA. The record is from RefSeq and is a predicted model, not a curated record. NCBI's taxonomy places the organism in Eukaryota, Metazoa, Cnidaria, Anthozoa, Scleractinia, Merulinidae.
UACCCCGGGAAGAUUACCUUCGCCUUCACGAAACGAGCUUUAUUGCCUCCAGGAAACAAUUCAAGGUGCAUUGUGCUUCGUUGGAGUACGUCCUAAUCUCUUAGCAUUAUAGAGUUUUAAUAAUUUGCUUCAAUGGUGAAACUUAAGUCACUGGCGACUCAUCUUCUGACGGCGUUUGAAAAGAUCGUGCUGCACAGUACUUGUACGGUGUCAAUUGACAAUAAAUGUGGAUGUCCAAUAUCAAAGAUGUACACUGUAAAUCAAAGCUGCAUAUCUUGGUCAUCUUGUUAGCUGGAGUUUGGCCACCAUGUUGUAAGAUGUAGUUGUGCUUAAGAGCCCACAAGCAAUACCGCUAGCUAUUUUUACCAUGAGAAAAGCAAUUCACGGGUUUGAUCUAAUAAGAAGCAAGC